CCGCGUAUAUGUACGACGGUUUCCCGUGUGCCCGCUAACGACGCGCUAACCGUAGCCAUUCACCCUUUCGCGUCGUCCGCCCGUCUAUCGUGUGUAGCUUUUUAACGCAAUUUUCUUACAGAACGACCGCUCGUUCAAGCAUCAUAUUCGGUGGGAAUUAGGCAAAAUCCAUCUCGCUUUCCUGACGUGAUGUCAUUGGGUCUGCGACUCGCGCAGAUUUCGUGAUUUACGCAUCGAUUUGUGACGGCCCGCAGUGGGUAAAUGUGCAUUGUGGUAAUUGUUUUCUGUGUGGCUGUGGGUGCCGUCAAAAUCGGUCGGUUUGACAUAUGCGGUCGAGUCUAAGAAGGAACAGGGACCGGGGCGGAGUGCCGCGCAUUUGAGAGAUUGAAUUUUAUCGUUUUGUACGGGCCAGAACCCGUUGCAAGUUCUGUUGUGCAGAAGAAUUUGCGUGUGUGAGGUCUGAACUCGAAGCUGGGUAGAAUCAAGUUGCGAUUUCUCAUCAGAAUCGAGGCAAAGUCUAGCGAAAAAAGGCGCGUGUCGAACAUCACGGACGCAAACCGUUCGCUAGCAUCAGCUGUCAAUCAUCUGGCUGAAUUCUAGGUGGCUAGCGGCCAACGGGUACGAAGUUGGCAACGAUACGCAGCGCUAGCCGUCGCGCGUUUGCCACUGGACUUUUUCUGUGUGCGGCCGACAGGCGAACAAUAAUUGGGAGUCGGAACGCGCUUACAGAAAACGGCAAAUGUCUGACAAUAACCGGGAAUCGCGCCUCUAAAUAUCUGUCGUGAAAUUCGUGUGUCGCCGGACUGUGCGUUCGCGGUGCCGUGAAGUGGAUUCGUGACCCAGUGAAAAGGGAAAAACUCGCCAGCAGCAGCCACAAUGGUUCGAGGACGACGUGCACGAACGGUUACAGAUUCAGCAUCGGCCGUAGCCGCAGCCAACACUCUCACCCGUAUGGCCAACGGAACUGCUCACCUUGUUGAUGAUCAAUACUGUGCCAGUCCGAAACGUAAAGAUUGUCGAAUAGAUGAUGUUGCGACCAACUUAAAGGCCGCUAUACAAAGUAUGAACGGUUACCAUCAUGCAACUAGAAACAAAUCCACAAAAGGAUCUGCAUCCGGGGGGCAUUCAACAGGUGGUGUUGUUUCGAAAGAAAUCUCAAAUUUUCAAAUAUUCGGAGCAAAGACACGAUCUCAGACAGCAAUAAGACAAUAUUUUCGUGAAACAAAGACACAAUCAACUCAAAAUGAUGGUGAGAAUGCUGACGACGAUGACGAUGAUGAUGGAGGAACUGAAUUCUAUGCAAAUGGCAAUACGAUUGGAGCCGAACUAGAAGUUCAGACCACCUCAGCCACAAAUUCUUCAUCAAUUGAUAUAUCAGAAGAUACAUGUGAUGGCCUACCAGACUGUGUUAUAUCAUGUAAAACUAACCAAAUAACUAACACAUCGGAUAAUAUAUUCCUUCAAGCCCCAGUUUUAAGUCUAAACGUCGACAAGUCACCGAAUCAGGCAUCAUCAAUUAAAAUCAAUAAAACCCUCGAGGUCGAUCCUAUUUUUCCAAACUCAAAUGGCUAUCAUCAGCUCAAUGGGCAAUUCAAUAAAAUUGUAUCCCUAAGGAGUGCAUCCCUUGAGUCUACAACUCCAAUUCUCCUAAAUACUGAUUCAAAUUCAUGUGAUAGUGGUGUUGUUGUUGAUAAGCAGACUUCCAUCGCUGUUGAAAUGAGUCCUAGUCGAAGAAGGAAACCAACAACACCACAUCGUAUCUUGUGCCCUUCGCCAGUCAAGCAUGCUAUUGUUGAGAAAUCACCAGCAAGCGCCUUAUCGAAACGAGCGAAUGGUUAUCAUCCUCAUCAUGGUCACCACGGUUAUGUUCCUGCUGUAAAUGGGCAUGCGAAUGGAUUACAAAAACGAAAUCCUAAAUCGAGAAGAAGACUGAAUGCCAAUCAAUCAGAGAAUCAUAGUUCCAUGACAUCACCCCAAUUAGUUGGUGGUGUUACCUUAAAAAAUCAUGCGUUAACUAACGAAAACGGAAGCAGCGAUUGUAGUCAAAAAUCCUUAUUCAGUUCAACUAAAACUCCAACUGCCGAACAAAAUACAGAAUACAGUAAUUAUAAGGCAACCCAAAACAAAGUUCGUAAUAAUGGCCAAAUGCAACCCCGCGAGAGGAAUUUACAGAUUCACAAUGGCAACGCGAAUAGGACGACUCAACAGCAACAAGUCGUUCCAGUGGAUACUAAUAAAAAAGUCACUGAUUUCUUCCCAGUACGACGAAGUGUUCGAAAGACUAAAAAGGCUGUGCAAGAGGAAAUGAUGCGGUCUAUAGAGAAGGCUAUUAUUGACGGACGUGAAGAUGGAUUGAGGGUUGAACAUUUUGAAGGCAAAGGACGUGGUGUCAUAGCCGAGCGUCUUUUCAAGCGCGGUGAAUUCGUUAUCGAAUACAUUGGCGAACUUAUUACGAUUUCCGAAGCCAAUGACCGUGAAACGAAGUAUUCGUUAGACGAAAAUGCUGGUUGUUAUAUGUAUUAUUUCAAGCAUCGUAAUCAACAGUAUUGCAUCGACGCGACCGCCGAAACCGGCAAACUAGGACGCUUAGUGAACCAUUCGCGUAACGGCAACUUGAUAACAAAAGUUGUUGUCAUCAAAAAUCAUCCACAUUUAGUUCUAAUCGCCAAAGAUGACAUACAACCCGGCGAGGAAAUAACCUACGAUUAUGGCGAUAGGUCAAAAGAAUCAUUACUGCAUCAUCCCUGGUUGGCACUUUAGUUCUUAUCUCGGGAUAUUCUCACCGAUUUAUUGCUGUUAAUAAUGAUAGUAUCGUAGUUAUUCUAAUACGAGCAGGGAAAGUAAGUCGAUUGAAUGAUUUUUAAGGGGGGUGUGAUGUCUUGAUGACAUGAUUUUUUCUCAGCAUCCUAUCCUGAUCCUGAUGUGUAUUGAAGUGAAUCCGGUGGCUCAGUAUUAAAGUGGAUUUUAUCUAAACACCUUUAAAUCCUGAUUUGUUGAGAUUAUCUGAAAAUGUUUGGCUGAUAUUUGGCAGUUAUUUGGAAAAUUAAUGUGCUAAGUUCAUUCUUUUAUUGAAUGUUCAUUCGGCGUUGAUUUCUGUUAUAGUAACAUUUUAAAGCAUGUAAUGAAUAGUAAUGCGAACGUAAAGAUGUCUCUCGUGUUCGUAGCUUCGAGAGUUGAUUACUGUUUGAGUGAGUUAAAUUGUAAGGGCCUUGUUGCGAAUCGUUCGCGAGAAGUCUCAUUUUGAUUAGUCCCUGAUUCUCAACGUUGGACAUAUUGGAUUACUUACAUUUGGAAAUCGAGGGAGCCUCUCGUCUUUCCACGCGACGAAAUGUAUCUUAAAUGAAAUCAAUUUUAAGGCAUGGCAUUCCGAUUGAUCCCAUGCUAGUUUUUACUGCCACUAAUAUAUUUUAUCGAAUAAUCUACGACUCUUCCGAUCCAGCGAUUAGAAUCCAAUAUGCCAACUGAACAUUCUCGAGUAUUUCGGACAUUAAAUUGUUGAUUUCAAAAAGUAGAUAAAUAACCGAAUUGAGGAGCAAACAAAAUCAUAGACAACCAGAUUUUUACUUUUAUGAUUUUUAUUUUCUGCUUAGAAUUGUACAAAUUUUAUAUAAAUUAUUUAGUGGACAUAUUGACUCCAAAAAGCCCUUGUAAAGCAGAACAACAAGUACAUUAAAAUAGAAAUAGAAAAUGCGUAGCAACUAAACAGAAUAUCUUCACAAUAACUUUGUAACACCCACACUUAAUAUGAGAAACCAGAUCAAUUUUGUUCUCUUUACUAUGGAAGGAACGCUUGUAUUAUUGUUAUACUUAUAACUAUAGAAAAAAAAACGUAAAAUUGAGAGAUAUAUUGUUUUUAGAGAAGACGAAAAAAAUAGUGUUUCAGAAUCAUGAAAGAAUUUAAACAGAGAACAUAAGCGUCAAAAUACAUUAAGGAUAGUAAGCUAUAAGUUUGGCCAUAUAUGUAAAACACCCAUGCAUGUUUUCGUUUGAAAUAUUUAUAAAAAUAGUAGAAGAAAUGAGAAAAAUUAAUUGAACCCUACAACAACAAAACACUAUUCAGCUCAAAUAAAAGUAGAGAAAAUUAAAUA
This 4088-nucleotide unclassified non-coding RNA is filed under the name Hermetia illucens (black soldier fly). Its description in RNAcentral is "histone-lysine N-methyltransferase PR-Set7, transcript variant X1". The record is from RNAcentral. Lineage: Eukaryota; Metazoa; Arthropoda; Insecta; Diptera; Stratiomyidae.